Molecule: transfer RNA, 87 nt
Filed under: Acidobacteriota bacterium
Lineage: Bacteria; Pseudomonadati; Acidobacteriota
Also listed under: 1 other name
Description: Acidobacteria bacterium (activated sludge metagenome) tRNA-Ser
Rfam family: tRNA
About the family: Transfer RNA (tRNA) molecules are approximately 80 nucleotides in length. Their secondary structure includes four short double-helical elements and three loops (D, anti-codon, and T loops).
Source: RNAcentral
GGAGAGGUGGGUGAGUGGUUAAAACCACACGCUUGGAAGGCGUGCAUACGCUAACGCGUAUCGCGGGUUCGAAUCCCGCCCUCUCCG